CGCGGAGGUGACGGCGGAACA
This 21-nucleotide unclassified non-coding RNA is filed under the name Chlamydomonas reinhardtii. Its description in RNAcentral is "small RNA Cre_1267". The record is from RNAcentral. Lineage: Eukaryota; Viridiplantae; Chlorophyta; Chlorophyceae; Chlamydomonadales; Chlamydomonadaceae.